CAGACAGCCCUGAAAAUCAAUCUCUUCUAUUUAUCCACAGAACAGAGGGACCCUGGGCAACAGCAGCCUUUCUAACUGCCCCACUCUGCUCCAUCAUGUGCCUCAGUCCUGACGUGGAGGGACCACCGCAGAGUACAUUUAUUUUCUAUUCCCUUUAAGCCCUUAGCUUGC
This 171-nucleotide small RNA is filed under the name Chelonoidis abingdonii (Abingdon island giant tortoise). RNAcentral's name for it is "TUC338 (ENSCABG00000007415.1)". Lineage: Eukaryota; Metazoa; Chordata; Testudines; Testudinidae. The record is from RNAcentral.